RNAcentral lists this ribosomal RNA (253 nucleotides) under uncultured prokaryote. RNAcentral describes it as "partial 16S ribosomal RNA". It matches the Rfam family "Bacterial small subunit ribosomal RNA", at positions 524 to 776 of the family's 1533-position model. The record is from RNAcentral.
UACGGAGGGUGCAAACGUUGCUCGGAAUCAUUGGGCGUAAAGCGCACGUAGGCGGCUCGUUAAGUCGGAUGUGAAAGCCCCGGGCUCAACCUAGGAAGUGCAUUCGAAACUGCGAGGCUGGAGUCCUGGAGAGGAAGGCGGAAUUCUCGGUGUAGAGGUGAAAUUCGUAGAUAUCGAGAGGAACACCGGUGGCGAAGGCGGCCUUCUGGACAGUGACUGACGCUGAGACGCGAAAGCGUGGGGAGCAAACAGG